This is a long non-coding RNA of Carassius carassius (crucian carp), 417 nucleotides long. RefSeq lists it as uncharacterized. The record is from RefSeq and is a predicted model, not a curated record. NCBI's taxonomy places the organism in Eukaryota, Metazoa, Chordata, Actinopteri, Cypriniformes, Cyprinidae. The transcript is spliced from 3 exons.
GGGUGUUAAUUUCUCAGAGUAAAGUUAUUUUAAUCCAGAAAGAGUAUUUUCAACAUUUUGGGGAGUAAAGUUGCUCUAUCGGUGGAGUUAAAAGUGAGUGUAAAAAUCUGCAGAAACGCAGUGACAAUUUCAACUCUACAGCAGUGAUGAAUACCCGCCAUUCUGCUGUGCUUAUCAUUCGUUUGGCACGCAUUUCGGUGGAGGAAGAUUGAGAAGGAGCAACUCUAUUGCUAGGGGCAAAAUGCUGUUGCGUGUUCAAUUCGGGGAAGAGCAGAAAUACGUGAAGGUGUCUGAGCUGACAUUCGAUGCUUUCUUGAAAGAAGGUGCCUCUCAAUCAUCAUCAUGCUCGGGUACAUCUGAUGACACCUUCAUCCUGAAUUUCACAAUGUGUGACCCUGUUGAAGAAGAAGCUGCUGC